GUAGGAUUCGAACGUUAUCCGGAUUUAUUGGGCGUAAAGCGCGUGCAGGCGGUUUGGUAAGUUGGAUGUGAAAGCUCCGGGCUUAACCCGGAGAGGUCGUUCAAAACUACCAGACUAGAGGACGGUAGAGGGAGGUGGAAUUCCGGGUGUAGUGGUGAAAUGCGUAGAUAUCCGGAGGAACACCAGUGGCGAAGGCGGCCUCCUGGGCCGUUCCUGACGCUAAGACGCGAAAGCUAGGGUAGCAAACGGGAUUAGAAACCCCGGUAGUCCUAGCUGUAAACGAUGUAGACUUGGUGUUGGUGGUGUAAAAGCCUUCAGUGCCCGUAGCUAACGCGAUAAGUCUACCCGCCUGGGGAUUACGGCCGCAAGGUUA
This 373-nucleotide ribosomal RNA is filed under the name uncultured organism. RNAcentral's name for it is "partial 16S ribosomal RNA". It matches the Rfam family "Bacterial small subunit ribosomal RNA", at positions 527 to 896 of the family's 1533-position model. The record is from RNAcentral.